Alligator sinensis (Chinese alligator) is the source of this 1991-nucleotide long non-coding RNA. RefSeq lists it as uncharacterized. The record is from RefSeq and is a predicted model, not a curated record. The transcript has 5 exons. NCBI's taxonomy places the organism in Eukaryota, Metazoa, Chordata, Crocodylia, Alligatoridae.
AGACAUCCCAUAGUAACUCUCCAGCUGGUCAGCUCCGUCCUAACAGAACUGCAGCCGUUCAAGGAUGCCAUAUGAUCUCUCAGUUGAGUGCGACAGCCCAGGACAGAACAGAUGAAUACUGGAGGUAGAUGCACUACUGAUGGCAUCAACAGGAGAGAUUUGGCUUCCUUGACCACGAAGCUGUAUUCCAAGUAGGAGGAAGAAAUAGGGUCCAUCUAAUGAAGAAGAAAAGCAUCCUAGCACAACAACUCCUAGCACAAGCCCUCCAUGAAGAGGGCUUUAAACUAGGUGAGAAGAACAUUCUGGUGCUGCCACACUCAUAGAGUUGGAGGCAUUCCCUGUGGGCUUCACUAAUGAGGGGGGGAAGCUUGCCCCAUGUAAAAUAAAUGGACUGGAAAUCAGAACUUAGAGUGGACUGGCCUUGAUGAGGACUGGCCUUGAUGAGGACUGGCCUUGAUGAGUGACCUACUGACAGUGUCUCAGCUGAGUAUAAGAGAUGCUUUAACCAAACAUAAUUAACAGACUUAAUAAAGGGGUAACAGUGGGAGAUUCAAUGGUCAGUUUCACAUACAAAGUCAGACUAGAUGGUUUAAGGCUCCCUUCUGGCCUCAAACUUGAUGGAAAAACUGCCAGAUAUACAGGAAAUAACACGUAGGUCAGGAGGGAAGUUGGAAGACUGGACUGGAGGAUAAUUGUUCUCUUUUCUGGCUAUUAUAUUUGCAUUGUCUGAUUACUGUUCCUCACACAUGCAGAAGCUUGCAGGAAGAAGCCAUCACUCUCUGCUGAGUUACAUUCAGAUUCUUACAGUGGGAGUAGUAUAUAGGCUCACCGCCCUUCAGUGGAAAUGUGACAGGUGGGUAGGACUGGAAGUCCCGCCCCCUUCACCCCACCCCCUUUCCCCUUAUAUGUUGCAUGACAUCACAAGCCUUGACCCUGACCCCAGUCAUGUGGUGCAUGACAUUGCAAGCCCUGCCCCUGACCCCAACCACGUGGUGUGUGAUAUCCCCAACCCCACCCCUGCUCCCCCAGUCACAUGGUGUGUGACAUCAGCAACUCCACCCCCACCUGCCAGUCACAUGGUGUAUGACACCACCACCAUAUGGUCCAUGACAUCAGAAGGGCAACCCAUGUGGCCUACCCCAAAGCCCACCCCCUCAUGCUGCAAGAUCCACCCUAGACCACGUGGUACAGUUGUGACCUAUCAGACCCCAGACUACUUUAGCCCCUGGGGCACAGGCAUGGCAGUGGGGGGAUGACCCCUCUAACAACCCACUCCACCACCCCUGACCAACUGGCAGGGGCUUCAGAGGCCUCAGACCUCCCCAAGAACAACACCAAACCAAUUGGAGCAAGUAGGUGGGUGGAGCUUAGGCUGCAAGCCCACCAGGUCUAUCUGCUUUCCCAAGCAAGCCCUCUUUUUGUCUGAGACUGUGCUCAGACAUGGGGGCAGACAUGGAAGAGACUGAGGAGCACGAGAUGGAUGCCAAGUCUACCAAAACAAAACCGGGUACCAUGACAGAACUCGAGCAGUCUGUAUCAGACCUGCCUAUGGAGAGCAUGGACACCUCUGUCUCAAGGGACUCUGCUGAGGUAGACGACGCCUUCGUAGAGAGCUUUCAAAACCUGCACAUUGGCACCCUGCCGAAAGUAAAGGUUUUUUGUGUGAACGGUUUUUGUUCAUGUCCAAAAGAGCAGUUUGAGACCAAAGAUUGAUGCAACAUUUUUGUCCAAAGACAAUGAUCGCUAACCCAGGCUUUGAGCCUAUGGAGGCUAUUGAGCCAGGCUACAAGGCCGUGGAGGUCACAGAGCAGGACUAUGAGCCCAUGGAGGUCUCUGAGCAGGGGUGUACUGGGGGACUAUUUUCAAAUAAAAAAGUAUCCCAACUCUGUUCAGAAGAAGGUUUCUUGUGUGACCUGGUUUUGAACAACUGUUUAAGACGAGGCUGAAGAUCUCUGUUAAUGUUGUAUUUCUUAACUGCUUAAUAAACCUUG